AGUGAACGCUGGCGGUAGGCCUAACACAUGCAAGUCGAACGGCAGCACAGUAAGAGCUUGCUCUUACGGGUGGCGAGUGGCGGACGGGUGAGGAAUACAUCGGAAUCUACUUUUUCGUGGGGGAUAACGUAGGGAAACUUACGCUAAUACCGCAUACGACCUACGGGUGAAAGCAGGGGAUCUUCGGACCUUGCGCGAUUGAAUGAGCCGAUGUCGGAUUAGCUAGUUGGCGGGGUAAAGGCCCACCAAGGCGACGAUCCGUAGCUGGUCUGAGAGGAUGACCAGCCACACUGGAACUGAGACACGGUCCAGACUCCUACGGGAGGCAGCAGUGGGGAAUAUUGGACAAUGGGCGCAAGCCUGAUCCAGCCAUACCGCGUGUGUGAAGAAGGCCUUCGGGUUGUAAAGCCCUUUUGUUGGGAAAGAAAAGCAGCAGGUUAAUACCCCGCUGUUCUGACGGUACCCAAAGAAUAAGCACCGGCUAACUUCGUG
RNAcentral lists this ribosomal RNA (492 nucleotides) under uncultured bacterium. Its description in RNAcentral is "partial 16S ribosomal RNA". It matches the Rfam family "Bacterial small subunit ribosomal RNA", at positions 29 to 507 of the family's 1533-position model. The record is from RNAcentral.